RNAcentral lists this long non-coding RNA (1717 nucleotides) under Mus musculus (house mouse). RNAcentral describes it as "long non-coding RNA chr8:61504964-61506681". The record is from RNAcentral. Lineage: Eukaryota; Metazoa; Chordata; Mammalia; Rodentia; Muridae.
AAACAGUAGCCAACCUUCCCAAACGACCAACAACAACCAACAGCAUUCAACCACCAACCAGCAAACUACCUCUUCUCAGGGCCAUAGCAUUUAUUAUAUACCCCCAUAAGUCCCCAGAAUUACAAAUGUCUCACAGUAGCAGAACCUAUCUGGAGCUGGCAAAAUCAUGCCCCUGCUAGGGUGUGAGGCAAAUCAUAGUCAGCUGCUGUGGACCGUCUGAAGCAGCCUCAUAUCCCACACCUGUGAUUAAAACAAAAACACAUUCUUAUGAUAUUUCUGUGUUUUACAAAGCAACCAAAAUUCUCUCUACAGGAAAUGAUGUAUUGAGUCCUUAAGGUACCUGCUAUAGUUAUGAGCCACACUGAUCUUGAGCUUAGGGAGUGUCUUCCCCUCAUGAAAAGCUCAGCAUAGCUAGCUGUUUAAGGACCAUAUGAAGAGCUGGGUGUAGCCCUGUCAUCCGGGCACGCAAAGCUGGGUCAGGAUGGCCAAGAGUUCAAGGUCAGCCUGGUCAAGUCAGGGCGAUCUUCUCUCAAAUCAAGGUGUUAAAACUCUAUAAGAAAUAUAAAAUGAUAGUCAGAUGUGGUUGAAUAUGCUUUUAAUCUUAGCCCUCAGGAGGCUAAGGCAAGUAGAUCUGAGGGUUCAUGCUAUCCUUGUUUACAUACUAAGUUCCAGACCAGCUAGGACUAUAUAGUGAGAUCCUAUCUCAAAAACACUACACACACACACACACACACACACACACAAAUAAUUAGGAAUAAUUUAUGUUAGUAGAUAUAAUAAUGAUUCAUCCCCAAAUCUUAGAAUGAUAAUGAAUAAUUACAGUUAAUCAUAAAAUAUACAAUAACAGUAACCAUGGAUUUUUCUUUCACAAGGAAUGUGUGGGAUUUUUUUUGUUAUUUUCUUGUUUUGUUUUGUUUUGCUUUAUUUUGUGUUGUUUUGUUUCGUUUUGUUUUGUGCUGCUGGAUCAAGCUCAGGGUCUCCAGCCAGGCGCCAGACAAGGACUUUCCCACUGAGCUUCCUCAGCCUGGACAGCACUGGUCUUCAAAAGAGUGCUUGCUUGAGAACAGAAAUGAAGACACAGAACUGACUGCAAAUAUAGAUAGAAUUCCUUUUGCCUUGAACUUUUGUGGGGAAUAAUAGGCUAUUUCUAUAUACUGGAUUCAUGCUGUUUUUAUUUGCCGUUGUUGAAAUGUUCUUAAUAUUUCAUUUUAAAAAGUAAUGUUUUGGUCAGGCACUGGUGGUACUCACCUUUUAUUUCAGCACUUGAGAAGCAAGUGAAUCACUGAGUUCAGGACAGCCAAAGCUGCACAGAGAAACCCUCUCUUGAAAAACAAACAAACAAACAAACAAACAAACAAACAAGUGCCUAUAACCUCAGCUCCUUGAGCAGCUAAGGAAGGAGUAUAGCAAACUCAAGGACACCCUGGGUUACAUAGUGCAAGGACAUCCUGGGAAAGUUAGCAAGACUUUUUCAAAAUAAUUAAUACAUUUUAAACCGGACUGGUGAUGUGGUAGAGUGCUUGCCCAGCAUGAACAAGUUCCCAGGUUCAGAACAGAACAAAACUCAGUGAUCCAGGAUUCACUGAACUACAGUUUUGAAGCAGAACAUUAUCUAAACGGAGAUUUAAUUAUAUAUUGAAGGUCAACUCAAACAUGUGAAUAAGCUGUACUAAUAAAUCCAGAAUAACUGUCAUAAAUUAAAAGCUGUGUAUUAAAU